Molecule: ribosomal RNA, 446 nt
Filed under: uncultured bacterium
Lineage: Bacteria
Description: bacterial SSU rRNA
Rfam family: Bacterial small subunit ribosomal RNA
Source: RNAcentral
CCUACGGGGGGCAGCAGUGGGGAAUAUUGCACAAUGGGCGCAAGCCUGAUGCAGCGACGCCGCGUGAGGGAUGACGGCCUUCGGGUUGUAAACCUCUUUCAGCUCCGACGAAGCGCAAGUGACGGUAGGAGCAGAAGAAGCACCGGCCAACUACGUGCUAGCAGCCGCGGUAAUACGUAGGGUGCAAGCGUUGUCCGGAAUUACUGGGCGUAAAGAGCUCGUAGGCGGUUUGUCGCGUCGUCUGUGAAAUUCUGCAGCUUAACUGCAGGCGUGCAGGCGAUACGGGGCAGACUCGAGUACUACAGGGGAGACUGGAAUUCCUGGUGUAGCGGUGAAAUGCGCAGAUAUCAGGAGGAACACCGGUGGCGAAGGCGGGUCUCUGGGUAGUAACUGACGCUGAGGAGCGAAAGCGUGGGUAGCGAACAGGAUUAGAUACCCGGGUAGUC